Long non-coding RNA from Triticum aestivum (bread wheat), 3925 nucleotides. RefSeq lists it as uncharacterized. The transcript has 3 exons. The record is from RefSeq and is a predicted model, not a curated record. Lineage: Eukaryota; Viridiplantae; Streptophyta; Magnoliopsida; Poales; Poaceae.
UUGGGGCACACAUCGUCGGCCUGCACUGCCGCCUUCGCAGACCCACGUUUCUCUCCCCGCUUUGUCUGGUUUCCUCUAGAAAAAAGAAACAAUUCAUCUACACCUCGGACUAGAUUCGUUUGGGAGCCGGAGAUUUGCAACAAAAAAGGGAGCUGGAGAGGAUAAGUUGAAAUCGGCGGCACCGCCGCCGCCGCUACGGGGCACAAGCAUGGAGGCGGUUGGGAUAGUGUGGUGCCGCCACCGCUACGGGGCACGAGCACGGAGGCGGCUGGGAUAGUGUGGUUAGGGAGUUGGGAGAGGAACAGGGGGAGACGAUGGCGGCCUGAGCGGGCGGCGCUGGGCGCCAUGGGGUUCAACAUCUCGCCGGCCUUGACUCGCGCACGUCCCGUUCCGCUCAGGGCACAUCCUGCCUCAGCAGCCACACCUCUCCCUCCAAGCACAGAGCUUGCUGCCCCCACCCCCAUACAAUGAACGAGCAUGCCAAGGAGAGGAGCUCCAUGCGUAUGGGAGGCCAGCCGCUCCCCAAUCUUCAGAUCUGACCAACGUGGGAGGAAUUGUUGGAGCACAACCAAAUCCAAACGCCUCACCGGUGAGCACCAUCAUUGCCUGAAGCUUGGAGAGUAUUACUAAUUGCUUGCUAUUCAUUAUUGCCUGAAGCGAGAGAACAGUUUAGUUAUUUCUCCGGUAAUUGAUAGUUGUUAUAUUAUAUACUUGUGUUUUCUUUACUGUAGAGACCACUGAUUAUUCACCCAUUGAUUAUUCACCCAGAGUAUAAUGUUUGUGACUAACACCUAUUUAUCAAUACAUGGGAUGACCAUGUCGUGGGUGAAGAAGUUUGCAAUGGAUCAACCUUGAAGACACUUGGAACAUUUACUUCGAGUGAAGACUCUCGCGUGCAAUUGCCACUGCCCCGACCUGGCCGAUUGUUGACCUCGAUGGCUUGACAGCGUCCUUUGUGAUUCUGAACAUAUGUGCUACUCUCCUGGACACCGCCGACUCAGGUCCUACUCUCCUGGACGCCGCCGACUCAGGUUAUAUCUACAUGUAGCGUUGGAGAAUACUACGUGGACAACGGUGGCACUAAGGCCUGCAGUAGCGAGUGGAGAGCGCCCAGGCCGAGCUCCCCAAUGUUCAUGUCGUACAGGAGCUAAUCCAUGCUGAGUGGGCCAUAUCGGUCUUUGUCUGCACGCAUUAUUAUGUCCUCUUCUUAUCUCCCCCGCUUGUGCCAUCGGAGAAUAUCAAGGAUGUGGCAUCGGCACUGAGCCGCCACUGGUAGGCAAGGGCAUGUGGCCUGGUCGUCAACGAUGAGAUUGGGGUCGGCACAUACCAAAGCGACACACAGAGGCAGAGUUCUAUAAAAGUAAGGAAUCCAUCUAAUUCUACUUGAGAACCUUCCAACACGAGGUAACAUCAUUUGUGGCAUGGGUAUAUCUUAUAUCUACUAAAUAUCACUUCUAGAUAUUGGCGUUACGUACCAAGUGUAUACAUCUAUAUUGCCAGUGAUUUUGCGCUUUUGAUAAUUAGUCAAUAUUUUCAUGUAUUUGUUACAACAGUAUGGUGUUAGCAAGCGUAUUGUCUUGUGAAAAAUUGGUGAUUGCAUAUGCACUUCGUAUCUAAUUGUGUUUUUUCUGAGCUAAUAUUUUUACUAAUUAUUCUAUUCUUUCCACUUCUUGUAUAAACAGACCAGGACCAGUAUUCUGAACCUCAUACCAUUAAGGUAAUCAGCUAUUUUUUUAUAGAUGCACUAACUGAUUGCUAAUUUCAGCUUUGUUCUUCAUUACUGCAGGGCAUAUCUGUAUUCUAAGGAAAAUUAGUACACUUGGUAAUUCUUUCUUGACAUGGCUAUUCCAUCGAGGUUUAAUUCUAUGAUACACAACUAAUAGUUUGUUGGUAUGCAUAACUAUCUUGCCAAAGGUUUUGCCUGUGUAUAUCACUUCGUAGUUGAAAGUGUUUGAUGCAAUCAUUAUGAGCAUCAUGUUUGCCUUUUUGUGGAAAAUUAGUGUAGAACUCUUCUUGCUACUACCAUCAACUCUCAACAAGUCAGUGAUGGACAGGAUUAUCAUUCAUGUACUUGAACAGUUGAUUCAGGGUCUAUUCAUAAAUGUGUUAAUUUGUUUUUGUAUGACUCCUUUCUUCCAUCAAUGUUUUUACAUCCAAAUGAACUACACUAUUCUUAUACAGUCAAAUUAGAAUAUUUUGAUUUUUUUGAUGAUCACUUAAGGGUGUGUUUGGUUCGGGGACGAAGUGUAAUGGAAUGUCAUGGUUCCAUUCCAGUGUAAUGGGUUGGUUCCGUCCUUGUGUUUGGUGUGGGUAAAUUGAGGGAAUGGAAUGGUUACAUUUUGGUGUUUGGUUUGACAGAUGGAAUGGAAUGGAUUUGUAAGUGAUCAUCAAUUCAUCUAUGCAACAAAGCCAGGUAAACAUUGAAUUGGAUUUUGAAACAGGGGUUUGAGCAUCAACUAAUCGGAUUGAAGCAUUUUUUCUUUGAGCAUUGAUGAAUUGAAUCCAUGCGACAAACAACGGUGUGAGCUAUUAAUCUGACUCAAUCACAAGACAAACAGUAGCUACAAGAAAAGAAGCUAAAGCUGAGCGUGGCGGCCGGUUGGAUGCGAGGCUUGGCCUUGGCGUUCCCACGCGCGACCGCGACUCCGAGCGGCGCGUUCUCAGGUGCGGUCAACGGCCGGCGUUUGGAGCGGCUGCUCCGUCAAGCACGGCGGCUCGGCGCUUCCCGGCAUGUGCCGCCAUUGUUGCCCUGCGGCAAGACCUCCACUGGCGAAAGAAGGCGUAGCAGAUCAAAGGAAGAUGGCCGGCGGCACAGAUAGGAGGUGGAGGGCCGGCAGCGCACAUCGCGGGCGGGGGAGAGACGAGGGAGAAUAGCCGCACAGAGGAUAGGGUUCGAGAGCGAGAGAAGCGAGCAGAGGCCGUUCCGCGUCGUUCCUCCGAUUUGGAGGUACGAGUGGAUUUCGGAUCUGGGCCGAAUAUUCGGUUUGCGAGCAUGAGCCCGUUCCGGUUCCAGUUGUCUACCAAACGCACGAACGAGGCCCAGGAACAGGUUGGACCCGUUCCAUUCCAGUCCAUUACCGAAACCAAACACACCCUAAAUAAAUGAAUAUCCACGGUUAUCAAGGAGGGAGGGAGAGGGGGAGGGAAAGGGAGAUGGAGAGAUAGAGAGAGAGCGCAUUUAAUAUUUGAUAGCUUCCUUUACUAAAUCACCUAUCUCAUGGAGCUGCAGUUUUGGAUGUUUAAAAUGAAUGAGUAGGUAAAGAUUAGCGACAUUUUCUUACAAGCACCUGCAAUAUUUGCAUAAAAUGCUUUCCUAGGGCUGGUCAACUCUUUUUAUUUCUGUCAUAGUACACAUGUCUAUCACCACAAAUUGCCAUAUGUUUUUCAACGGUACAUGAGCUGUGAGUUGCCCUAUUAUUUUAAGAGUUCAUAAGUUGGGUUGACUGUGAGACUCUAAAUACAUGAUACAUGGUCUUGUACAAUUUAUAUUACUGUCCAUCGAAGUGUUUUAUACUCGUUAUUAUAUUAACAUAAAUAUUUUUGUGAUUAAAGUUGCAGGUUAUUACUUUGAAUGAUCUAAGAAAUAUAUUUGGAUUAGGGAAGCGUGAAGCACAAGCAAUCACCUCAGAUAUCGAAUCUCGAGCAUACAGAAAUAAGCUUAUAAAAUCCUUUAGUACUGACUUGGCUGCUGCUCCUAACAAAGCAUCAUUCCUCCAAAAUCUCUGUCAAGAGUUACAGUUUGAUCCUGAACUUGCUAGCAAGAUGCAUAAAGAUACCAAGCUGACACUUGUUUUUUGUAUUGCAUCAUUAAUUUUACAACAUAGUUCUAUGUUAGCUCAAAAUUUGAUCUUGCUCCUGCUAGCAAGAUGUGUACCAUAUUAGCUACAGUUUGAAGGAUAUAAUCCUUUUGUUUCAAGACUAAUGG